RNAcentral lists this long non-coding RNA (723 nucleotides) under Physcomitrium patens. RNAcentral describes it as "long non-coding RNA (PPAT_LNC003949)". Lineage: Eukaryota; Viridiplantae; Streptophyta; Bryopsida; Funariales; Funariaceae. The record is from RNAcentral.
UUUGAUACUUGAUUUCAAAUAACCAGAAUACAGUCAAUUGUCAUACUAACAGACCCAAUUCAUAUAACUAGUCUUUUUCCAUGUUCGAAUCCACUUCUAUUAGUUCAAUUGCUUUGGUAUACUAAAUCUUGAAUACAACAAGAGCAACAAGAGGUCUAUCAAAAAAAUAUCAAAAAAAUGAGUCUAUGUACUUAAAAUCACUAAAAUAAUUUUGUAUUAGCAAAAUCUCAGAAUGCCCUCUUGUGAAUAAAUGAAUGUUUCUUUACUCCAAAUACUCCCAAAUCAACUUUUGAAGAUUCUAACAAGUAUGUGAACUCCAAUCAACCUCACCAUCUAGUUCUUCUACUCAUAAAAUUCACUUUCUCACCACAAAAUCAAAGACACUAUCAAGGUCUUUGCAUAAGGUCUUAAUCACUCAAUCCUAGGAAUUAAGAACCUUUAAACUGAUGUAAGAGAUCUAUAAGGCCCAAAUCAGAACCUCCACAAGUCAAAACACAAGAUUAGAUCAUACAAUCUCUAACAUCAGCAAACACCAUAAGUUCUAUUCCACACAAAAAUAACAACUAGCAAAUGACUUCAACUUACUUGAAUAAUAUAACAAAGUGUGUAUGGGCCCAUAACCUAUUGAAGAAACAUAAUAAGCAAGACACAAGUAAGUAGAAGUCAGGAAGGUUAGACACAAGAGAAGUAUGGAAUGAGAUACCUCUCCCUUCCAAAACUCUU